UGGGGAAUCUUGCGCAAUGGGGGAACCCCUGACGCAGCGACGCCGCGUGCGGGAUGAAGGUCUUCGGGUUGUAAACCGCUUUUGAUUGGGAGCAAGCUUUCGGGUGAGUGUACCUUUCGAAUAAGCUCCUGCUAACUACGUGCCAGCAGCAGCGGGAAUAAGUAGGGCGCAAGCGUUAUCCGGAAUUAUUGGGCGUAAAGAGCUUGUAGGCGGUUCGUCGCGUCUGGUGUGAAAGCCCAGCGCUUAACGGUGGGUUUGCGCCGGGUACGAGCGGGGUAGAGUGGAGUAGGAGAGGCUGGAAUUCCCGGUGGAGCGGUGGAAUGUGUAGAAAUCGGGAAGAACACCAAUGGCGAAGGCAGGUCUCUGGGCUGUUACUGACGCUGAGAAGCGAAAGCGUGGGGAGCGAACAGG
RNAcentral lists this ribosomal RNA (411 nucleotides) under Verrucomicrobiota bacterium. RNAcentral describes it as "Verrucomicrobia bacterium partial 16S ribosomal RNA". It matches the Rfam family "Bacterial small subunit ribosomal RNA", at positions 355 to 776 of the family's 1533-position model. Lineage: Bacteria; Pseudomonadati; Verrucomicrobiota. The record is from RNAcentral.